Molecule: RNA transcript, 3446 nt
Organism: Tupaia belangeri chinensis (Chinese tree shrew)
Lineage: Eukaryota; Metazoa; Chordata; Mammalia; Scandentia; Tupaiidae
Gene: MARK2
Gene name: microtubule affinity regulating kinase 2
Exons: 19
Source: RefSeq, a predicted model, not a curated record
CCCACAUUGGGACACCUUGAUUCCAAGCCCAGCAGUAAGUCCAACAUGCUACGGGGCCGCAACUCAGCCACUUCUGCUGAUGAACAACCCCAUAUUGGCAACUACCGGCUCCUCAAGACCAUUGGCAAGGGUAACUUUGCUAAGGUGAAGUUGGCCCGGCAUAUCCUGACUGGGAAAGAGGUAGCUGUGAAGAUCAUUGACAAAACUCAACUGAACUCCUCUAGCCUCCAGAAGCUGUUCCGUGAAGUAAGAAUAAUGAAGGUUUUGAAUCAUCCCAACAUAGUUAAGUUAUUUGAAGUGAUUGAGACUGAGAAAACGCUCUACCUUGUCAUGGAAUAUGCUAGCGGUGGAGAGGUGUUUGAUUAUCUAGUGGCUCAUGGCAGGAUGAAAGAAAAAGAGGCUCGAGCCAAAUUCCGUCAGAUAGUGUCUGCUGUGCAGUACUGCCAUCAGAAGUUCAUUGUCCAUAGGGACUUGAAGGCAGAAAACUUGCUCUUGGAUGCUGAUAUGAACAUCAAGAUUGCAGACUUUGGCUUCAGCAAUGAAUUUACCUUUGGGAACAAGUUGGAUACCUUCUGUGGCAGUCCUCCUUAUGCUGCCCCAGAACUCUUCCAGGGCAAAAAGUACGAUGGACCCGAGGUGGAUGUGUGGAGCCUAGGGGUCAUCCUCUAUACACUGGUCAGCGGAUCCUUGCCUUUCGACGGACAGAACCUCAAGGAGCUGCGGGAACGGGUACUGAGGGGAAAAUAUCGUAUUCCAUUCUACAUGUCCACGGACUGUGAAAACCUGCUUAAGAAAUUUCUCAUUCUUAAUCCCAGCAAGAGAGGCACUUUAGAGCAAAUCAUGAAAGAUCGGUGGAUGAAUGUGGGUCACGAAGAUGAUGAACUGAAGCCUUAUGUGGAGCCACUUCCUGAUUACAAAGACCCCCGGCGGACAGAGUUGAUGGUGUCCAUGGGUUACACGCGGGAAGAGAUUCAGGACUCGCUGGUGGGCCAGAGGUACAAUGAGGUGAUGGCCACCUAUCUGCUCCUGGGCUACAAGAGCUCUGAGCUGGAAGGUGACACCAUCACUUUGAAGCCCCGGCCUUCAACUGAUCUGACCAAUAGCAGUGCCCCCUCCCCAUCCCAUAAGGUACAACGCAGUGUCUCGGCCAACCCCAAGCAGCGGCGCUUUAGUGACCAGGCUGGACCUGCCAUUCCCACCUCCAAUUCCUACACUAAGAAAACUCAGAGUAACAACGCAGAAAACAAGCGGCCUGAGGAGGAGCGGGAGUCAGGGCGGAAGGCCAGCAGCACAGCCAAAGUGCCUGCCAGCCCUUUGCCCGGUGUGGAGAGGAAGAAGACCACCCCCACCCCCUCCACGAACAGUGUCCUCUCCACCAGCACGAAUCGAAGCAGGAAUUCUCCGCUUUUGGAGAGGGCCAGCCUUGGCCAGGCUUCCAUCCAGAAUGGCAAAGACAGCCUAACCAUGCCAGGGUCCCGGGCCUCCACGGCUUCUGCUUCCGCCGCAGUCUCUGCGGCCCGGCCCCGCCAGCACCAGAAAUCCAUGUCGGCCUCCGUGCACCCCAACAAGGCCUCUGGGCUGCCCCCCACGGAGAGUAACUGUGAGGUGCCGCGGCCCAGCACAGCCCCCCAGCGUGUCCCUGUCGCCUCCCCCUCCGCCCACAACAUCAGCAGCAGUGGUGGAGCCCCAGACCGAACUAAUUUUCCCCGGGGUGUGUCCAGUCGAAGCACCUUCCAUGCAGGGCAGCUCCGACAGGUGCGGGACCAGCAGAAUUUGCCCUACGGUGUGACCCCAGCCUCUCCCUCUGGCCACAGCCAGGGCCGGCGGGGGGCUUCUGGGAGCAUCUUCAGCAAGUUCACCUCCAAGUUUGUACGCAGAAAUCUGUCUUUCAGGUUUGCCAGAAGGAACCUGAAUGAACCUGAAAGCAAAGAUCGAGUGGAGACGCUCAGACCUCACGUGGUGGGCAGUGGAGGCAAUGACAAAGAGAAGGAAGAGUUCCGGGAGGCCAAGCCACGCUCGCUACGCUUCACGUGGAGCAUGAAGACCACGAGCUCCAUGGAGCCCAACGAGAUGAUGCGGGAAAUCCGCAAGGUGCUGGACGCAAACAGCUGCCAGAGCGAGCUGCACGAGAAGUACAUGCUGCUGUGCAUGCACGGCACGCCAGGCCACGAGAACUUUGUGCAGUGGGAGAUGGAGGUGUGCAAACUGCCACGGCUGUCUCUCAACGGGGUGCGAUUUAAGCGGAUAUCAGGCACCUCCAUGGCCUUCAAAAACAUUGCCUCCAAAAUAGCCAACGAGCUGAAGCUUUAACAGGCUGCCAGGAGUGGGGGCGACAGAGGCGGGCCAGCUGGACUUGGCUGCUGGGGCCAGCCGCUGCCCCCCCCAGGCCAGACUGCAGCAACGGAUUGGUGUCUCCCUGCUGGCACUUCUCCCUCCCUGGCCCUUCUUGGUCUUUUCUUCCAAGUUUGUGGGGGAUGGGAGAUGGCUCUUCCCCUACCAUCACCACAUUCACCCCUGCCCAGAAAUUCCCCCUUCCCCUCUCUCCCCCAUAGGAGGCGAAGGAAGGGGAGGGCGGGGUAGGGGCAGGGCUCCCCCUCGGUACUGCGGUUGCACAGAGUAUUUCGCCUAAACCAAGAAAUUUUUUAUUACCAAAAAGAAAAAAGAAAAAAAAAAUAAUCCCAGCUGCCACCUGUCCUCCCUGCCCCAUUGGGACAGUCGAGACUGGAUCUGUGGGGUUUCCCAGGAGGGUGGCUCAGGGCUGGAACACUCUCAGGCAAGAGUGGUGGAGUUCCCUGUCAGGCCCUCUGCCAGGCCCGCUUGGGGCUUCUCCCCUCUCCUCCCCUCCCCCCUCUAAGUGAACCACCAGAGGUGGCCUUCCUCUGCCCUAGGCCCCUGGGCUGGCAGCCUGGGGGGCUGGGGGCAGCGGGCUGGGUGCUGCGCAGCCCUGAAAUGGGUGGGCUGGCGGCUGAGGGCAGGCGGGCUGGCUAGGGGCUCCGUCCUCCCUCUACACUGUAUCCUCUGUCUCCCCCCAGCUGGGCAUUUCCUUCCAUAAGCUGCUGUGGGGACAUUUGUUCCCCUCCUCAAAGGUCUGUGCCAUCUUCUCCCACCCCUUCCGGGUAGGAGGGGCAACCCCAGGGCUGGGAGAGGGGAGGGGACUGCAGGGCAGAUUGGCUCCUCAGCCCCCAGGGGGCCACUUGGGCUGCUAGUUUCCAGAACAGGGACGCUGGGCUUUCUCUGAAAGCACAGUCCCCCUCGCCGCUCCCGUCCCCACUGCUUCCCCUUCAUUGGCAUUAAUCUGGGCACCAGCUAGUUUCAGAGCAGUGACUUCCUUCAUCACUCAUCUCUUGGCCUCACCUUUUCUUCUCAACACUGUCAUCCCUCUCAGGAGGCACUGCCCAGGGCCCCGUGGGCUGCCUGGUGAGAGCUGGACAGGACAGGGCAGCGCA